AUGAAUCCUGUCCAAGCUGAAGUGGCUGCUCUUCAAUCCAUCCUUGCAGCCUUUGGCAAGAUCUCCGGCCUCUGCACAAAUUUUAGCAAAUCAGCAGCAUACCCAAUUGCAUGUGAGGACCAUGUGAUUGAGGAGGUUCUAGCUGAGUUUGAGGGCGAAAUCAGCUCCCUCCCGUGCAAGUACCUUGGGAUGCCUCUGAGUAUUCGCAAGCUUCGGAGGGUGGAUUUUCAAGUUCUCAUUGAUAAAAUGGCAGCAAAGCUUGCGGGAUGGAAGGGGAAAUUACUUAACAGGAUGGGACGGCUGGCUCUCAUCAACUCGGUGUUAACCUCCUUCACCACAUACUAUCUGACAAUGUUUGCUCCAACCAAGUGGGUUGUAAAGAGGAUUGACAAGCUCCGAAGAAGUUUUCUUUGGAAAGGAGAAGAAGAGGCCAAAGGAGGCCACUGUGCAGUCAAUUGGCAACAAGUAUGCUCCCCCAAAAAGCUUGGGGGCCUUGGAAUAAAAAACCUAGCUUUCUACAGCAGAUCUUUGAGAUUAAGGUGGGCUUGGUACUCCUGGAAAUACCCCAAUAGGCCUUGGGUUGGACUGCAAAUUCCAUGCACUAGCACUGACAUGCAGCUGUUCAAUGCCUCCACAACUGUCAAGCUUGGUGACGGUCAAAGUGCUAAAUUCUGGAGUAGCUCAUGGCUAAAUGGUUCUGCACCUAAGGACAUCGCCCCAAACCUACAUAAGCUUGCAAGGCGGAAAAAUGCCUCGGUGGCGGCUGCUCUCAAUCGGGGCCGCUGGAUGAAAGGAAUCGAGCAACUUAGCACCACUGAGGAUCUGAUCAGUUUCAUUGACCUUUGGCACCGGAUACAAGGGGUUAACCUCUCGGAUCAACCGGAUGACAUUGAAUGGAAAUGGAACGGCAGCAAAUCAUACACUGCUGCCACUGCUUAUGAUGCCCAAUUCAUCGGAACCAUUGCGAAGCCUGAGUUGAAUGCCCUUUGGAAAGCAAAGGUGGAGGGAAAGAUCAAAUUCUUUGGUUGGCUUCUAUCUCAAAAUAGACUGCCAACUGCUGAUCGUCUUCGCGCGAGAGGAUGUGAACACAACGACACCUGCUCCCUCUGCGACCAAACAAUUGAGACUGCCGCUCAUCUGAUCUGUGGAUGCCCAUUUGCAAAGGAAGUGUGGCAGAAGAUCACCACCAUGCUGCCUAACAUUCAACUUCAAGCAACCUUGCCGUUCACCUCCAUCGCAGCCUGGUGGAGAAGUUUUGCCUAUGGGCAGCAGAAAAAGGCAGCAGCUGCGCUAUACUUUGCCUGGAAUAUUUGGAAUGAGCGAAACCGAAGAAUAUUUCAAAACCUGUCUUCAACUGCUGAUAUGGUGGCUUGCCUAGCCAGGUCUGACUUAGCAUACUUGGACAUGGCCAAUGUGAGGCCUUAG
RNAcentral lists this ribosomal RNA (1425 nucleotides) under Triticum aestivum (bread wheat). Its description in RNAcentral is "partial small subunit ribosomal RNA". The record is from RNAcentral. Lineage: Eukaryota; Viridiplantae; Streptophyta; Magnoliopsida; Poales; Poaceae.